RNAcentral lists this ribosomal RNA (451 nucleotides) under uncultured Cytophagales bacterium. Its description in RNAcentral is "bacterial SSU rRNA". It matches the Rfam family "Bacterial small subunit ribosomal RNA", at positions 342 to 791 of the family's 1533-position model. Lineage: Bacteria; Pseudomonadati; Bacteroidota; Sphingobacteriia; Sphingobacteriales. The record is from RNAcentral.
CGGGGGGCAGCAGUAGGGAAUAUUGGGCAAUGGAGGGAACUCUGACCCAGCCAUGCCGCGUGCAGGACGAAGGAGCUAUGCUCUGUAAACUGCUUUAGCAGGGGAAGAAAAGGCAUCUGCGGAUGAGAUUGACGGUACCCUGAGAAUAAGCACCGGCUAACUACGUGCCAGCAGCCGCGGUAAUACGUAGGGUGCAAGCGUUGUCCGGAUUUAUUGGGUUUAAAGGGUGCGUAGGCGGCUUAAUAAGUCAGUGUUUAAAGCACAUAGCUUAACUAUGGAAAUGGCAUUGAUACUGUUAAGCUUGAGUAGAAACGGGGCAGGCGGAAUUUAUGGUGUAGCGGUGAAAUGCAUAGAUACCAUAAAGAACACCGAUAGCGAAGGCAGCUUGCCAGGAUCUAACUGACGCUGAGGCACGAAAGCGUGGGGAUCAAACAGGAUUAGAUACCCGAGU